Molecule: ribosomal RNA, 500 nt
Filed under: uncultured bacterium
Lineage: Bacteria
Description: partial 16S ribosomal RNA
Rfam family: Bacterial small subunit ribosomal RNA
Source: RNAcentral
AUUGAACGCUGGCGGCAUGCCUUACACAUGCAAGUCGAACGGCAGCACGGGAGCAAUCCUGGUGGCGAGUGGCGAACGGGUGAGUAAAGUAUCGGAACGUGCCCAGUCGUGGGGGAUAACGUAGCGAAAGUUACGCUAAUACCGCAUACGAUCUAUGGAUGAAAGCGGGGGAUCGCAAGACCCCGCGCGAUUGGAGCGGCCGAUAUCAGAUUAGGUAGUUGGUGGGGUAAAGGCUCACCAAGCCGACGAUCUGUAGCUGGUCUGAGAGGACGACCAGCCACACUGGGACUGAGACACGGCCCAGACGCCGACGGGAGGCAGCAGUGGGGAAUUUUGGACAAUGGGCGCAAGCCUGAUCCAGCCAUGCCGCGUGCAGGAUGAAGGCCUUCGGGUUGUAAACUGCUUUUGUACGGAACGAAAAGGUUUGGCUUAAUACGUUGAACUCAUGACGGUACCGUAAGAAUAAGCACCGGCUAACUACGUGCCAGCCGCCGCAGUAA